This 843-nucleotide ribosomal RNA is filed under the name Stilbochaeta malaysiana. RNAcentral describes it as "partial large subunit ribosomal RNA". It matches the Rfam family "Eukaryotic large subunit ribosomal RNA", at positions 65 to 943 of the family's 3401-position model. The record is from RNAcentral. Lineage: Eukaryota; Fungi; Ascomycota; Sordariomycetes; Chaetosphaeriales; Chaetosphaeriaceae.
CCAACAGGGAUUGCCUUAGUAACGGCGAGUGAAGCGGCAACAGCUCAAAUUUGAAAUCUGGCCUUGGCCCGAGUUGUAAUUUGCAGAGGAUGCUUCUGGUGCGGUGCCUUCCAAGUCCCCUGGAACGGGGCGCCAAAGAGGGUGAGAGCCCCGUCCGGUUGGCCGCCAAGCCUGUGUGAAGCUCCUUCGACGAGUCGAGUAGUUUGGGAAUGCUGCUCUAAAUGGGAGGUAGACCCCUUCUAAAGCUAAAUACCGGCCAGAGACCGAUAGCGCACAAGUAGAGUGAUCGAAAGAUGAAAAGCACUUUGAAAAGAGGGUUAAACAGUACGUGAAAUUGUUGAAAGGGAAGCGCUUGUGACCAGACGUGCGCCGGGUGUUCAGCGGGCGUUCUCGCCCGUGUACUCUCCCCGGCGCAGGCCAGCGUCGGUUCGGAUGGGGGGAUAAAGGCGUUGGGAAUGUGGCUCCCCCGGGAGUGUUAUAACCCAGCGUGCCAUGCUCCCGUCUGGACCGAGGUUCGCGCUCUGCAAGGACGCUGGCGUAAUGGUCCCCAGCGGCCCGUCUUGAAACACGGACCAAGGAGUCGAGGUUUUGCGCGAGUGUUUGGGUGUCAAACCCGCACGCGUAAUGAAAGUGAACGCAGGUGGGAGCUUCGGCGCACCACCGACCGAUCCUGAUGUUCUCGGAUGGAUUUGAGUAGGAGCGUAGGGCCUCGGACCCGAAAGAUGGUGAACUAUACUUGGAUAGGGUGAAGCCAGAGGAAACUCUGGUGGAGGCUCGCAGCGGUUCUGACGUGCAAAUCGAUCGUCAAAUCUGAGUAUGGGGGCGAAAGACUAAUCGAACCAU